Molecule: unclassified non-coding RNA, 200 nt
Filed under: soil metagenome
Description: partial contains internal transcribed spacer 2 and large subunit ribosomal RNA
Source: RNAcentral
CUGUUCGAGCGUCAUUACAACCCUCAAGCGCUGCUUGAUGUUGGGCCUCAUCAAUCUGGUAGGCCUUAAAAUCAGUGAGCGGAUCCGUUUAGCUUCCAGCGUAGUAAUACCCUCGCUGUGGAUGCGAGAUGCGACACCGCCAGUAACCACUAAAUAUCAAGGUUGACCUCGGAUCAGGUAGGGAUACCCGCUGAACUUAA